UCAUACGGGAGGCAGCAGUGGGGAAUAUUGCACAAUGGGGGAAACCCUGAUGCAGCCAUGCCGCGUGUGUGAAGAAGGCCUUCGGGUUGUAAAGCACUUUCAGUUGUGAGGAAAGGUUGGUAGUUAAUACCUGCCAGCUGUGACGUUAACAACAGAAGAAGCACCGGCUAACUCCGUGCCAGCAGCCGCGGUAAUACGGAGGGUGCGAGCGUUAAUCGGAAUUACUGGGCGUAAAGCGCACGCAGGCGGUUUGUUAAGCUAGAUGUGAAAGCCCCGGGCUCAACCUGGGAUGGUCAUUUAGAACUGGCAGACUAGAGUCUUGGAGAGGGGAGUGGAAUUCCAGGUGUAGCGGUGAAAUGCGUAAAUAUCUGGAGGAACAUCAGUGGCGAAGGCGGCUCCCUGGCCAAAGACUGACGCUCAUGUGCGA
RNAcentral lists this ribosomal RNA (427 nucleotides) under bacterium 73_VP8_D4. Its description in RNAcentral is "bacterial SSU rRNA". It matches the Rfam family "Bacterial small subunit ribosomal RNA", at positions 337 to 756 of the family's 1533-position model. The record is from RNAcentral.